RNAcentral lists this transfer RNA (76 nucleotides) under candidate division WWE3 bacterium CG_4_9_14_0_2_um_filter_35_11. RNAcentral's name for it is "tRNA-Thr". It matches the Rfam family "tRNA". Rfam says of the family: Transfer RNA (tRNA) molecules are approximately 80 nucleotides in length. Their secondary structure includes four short double-helical elements and three loops (D, anti-codon, and T loops). Lineage: Bacteria; candidate division WWE3. The record is from RNAcentral. RNAcentral also lists the same sequence under 1 other name.
GCCCACUUAGCUCAGUUGGUAGAGCAGACGCUUCGUAAGUGUCAGAUCAGUGGUUCGAACCCACUAGUGGGCUCCA